Molecule: ribosomal RNA, 253 nt
Filed under: uncultured bacterium
Lineage: Bacteria
Description: partial 16S ribosomal RNA
Rfam family: Bacterial small subunit ribosomal RNA
Source: RNAcentral
UACGGGGGGAGCAAGCGUUGUUCGGAUUUACUGGGCGUAAAGGGCUCGUAGGCGGCCAACUAAGUCGGACGUGAAAUCCCUCGGCUUAACCGAGGAACUGCGUCCGAUACUGGAUGGCUUGAGUUCGGGAGAGGGAUGCGGAAUUCCAGGUGUAGCGGUGAAAUGCGUAGAUAUCUGGAGGAACACCGGUGGCGAAGGCGGCAUCCUGGACCGACACUGACGCUGAGGAGCGAAAGCCAGGGGAGCAAACGGG